Molecule: long non-coding RNA, 785 nt
Filed under: Fragaria vesca (wild strawberry)
Lineage: Eukaryota; Viridiplantae; Streptophyta; Magnoliopsida; Rosales; Rosaceae
Description: long non-coding RNA (FVES_LNC001371)
Source: RNAcentral
UCAGCAAGGAGAUCACUAUAAGACAUUAGCAAUUUAAGAAAUAAUUUAUUAACUAACCAAACUUUAUCCCUAUCCCAUCUUUUUUAGUCAUUUUUGAUAGACUUUGAUAUAUAUCUUUUAUAUUUUUCUGUUUUUCUAGUCAAGAAAAGAUCAGUCCUAUUUCUACUAGGAUCCUACUACUAAAGAAGUGAUGUUAUUUGAAUUCUUAUUACACGGGGAAGAUAAAAGCAAGAGAGCUAACUAAUAUCCAAGUCUCCUAUAAAAGCUUUGUUUUGUUAGGUCUCCUCGCCAUUUUGUCUAAACAUAGAGGGAGAAGAAACUAGUCUUUUGUUCUUUUUGCAAAAAGCAGUUUAUAUAUCUUCCUUGGUCUCCAUCCUAACAACAACAGAAACCGAAUCGAAGGAAGAAAAGAGGUUAGUAGAUGUACUGGGAUUAGAGGUUAAUAUGAAGAAUGCGACUUACAUUAGAGCGCUCCGAAGACGUGGUAGGGAGGACUCCCCUUCAUUUUGCAGCAUCAACAGGUUAUCUUGGAGGGCUUUGCAUCCUAUUAGAAAGAUGUCCCUCUGAUUCUCAUUGAGCAGAUAGUAGCGGCACCUUGCCAAUCCAUUCUGCAUCAAGCAAAGGUCAUGUUCAUAUAGUUAAGCUGCUUCUUGAACAUUAUCCCGAUUUAAAGGAAUUAAGGAACUCAAGUGGAGAAAACAUACCUCAUGUUGCAACGCGCGAAGUGUGGCAAAGACAACUCUUGAUGCUUGUGGUUACAUGGUUUUUGCUAACGAUAAUAUCAU